CAGCACACAUCUCAGUGCCCUGUUGUCUGAGGCAGUAGUGAGCUUCAGGCCUCAGAUGAUGGACACCUAUCUCCUUUCUGAGGAGAGUGAGUGAGCCACGGGUCAUCAAUUCCAUCAUUUACUUCCUGUGUGUGGCUAGGCUCCUCCUUCUGUCAUCCUUCUUCCAAAAGGGAGCCAUUUGCUACCAGUCUUCAGAAUAAAGGAGACAUCAACCAGGGAAUCUAAAAACUUAUAUCCCAUGCCUUUUCUGGGAAAGUUACUACAGAUGUGCUUCAGAAAAAUGAUGAAGAAAAUGAAGAGAAGAGCCUCGAGGACUGUGAGGAAACAAAUUUCUGGUGUUUAAGCGGCCCAGUCUGUGACACUUUGUUACGGCGGCCCGAGCAGACUAACACAACUGGGAAAGAGGUCACAGGUACAAGGGUAGAGGAGAUUGGAGGAGUGAGAACACAGCAGGGGACAAGACCAGAGUAAGAGACUGAUGACGGGGCUAAUGCAAAAUGAAGUGACCAGGUUUAAGGACCUGAAGGAAAGCAGCAACGAUGGUGACGGAGAGAAAGAGACGGAUGUGAGAGACACUGUCAACAAAUCAAAUGGGAUGUGUAAGAGGGUGGAUGUAUUGAAUGAGCAUGAUGGUUGGGACACAGAGGAGUCCCGUUACAUCAAGAGAUGGAUAACAGUCAGUGCACAAGUAGAGCUUGGACUUCCCCAAGAGGCUGGAGAGCAGAGCAGUCCCAGAAAUAACUUGGUACCCUGCUCGGCACCACCAGAGGUGAGGACACUGGGGAACACACAGUGUGAGCUACUUGCCGAGAUGCUGCUGCUGGUGACUAGCAGAGCGAGAUUCAACAUGCUGUCUGGCUCCAGAGCCACACUCCUGAACCACUAAACUGUGCUGCCAAAAAUGUCACGGCGCCUGGAGAACGCGUCUCAGUCAAGAGCAGCUCGCUAUACAAUAUGAAUCUGCCUUUGGCCUUAGAUGGUGGAAACAAAUGUGGACAUUUGUACCAAACUAGGUCAGUCCAAAGUAUAUGAACAUAGGGAGCUGAGCUGGAAGGCCAAGUGGGCUUGGGGUCUGAAGGAACUCCUUGGGGGCAGCCAUGAUGGCUCACCAUGAGCCCCAGUGAAUGAGCAGAAAUGGAAGUCUGCACGGGCUACAAGUCUGUGGGGCUACAAAUGCAGCAGUCCCCCUAGCAGAGAUAGGAAACCAUGAGCGCUCAAAUGGCAGAGCAAAAUCAGAGUGCAUGAAAUUUCCCAGAGUGCUUAAAACAAACCCUCCUUUUCUUAAGCUAGCUUGAGCACUUUUCUGCUCUUUGCUAGACAGCAACUCCUGAGAUAAAGGGAAGUAGUGACAUAGGUCGCACGAUUUCCUGCCCAGGUUCUUAACUUCCUUCCUGGUUAAGAACUGUCCCAGUGCCUUGGAUGAGGACCGAGAUGAUGUUGUGAGGAAAACUAUGGGGAAUAUGAAGCUGGGCACAGCAGCAGCAAUAGUAAGGUGAAAGAACCAGCACCCAGAAGAACCCCAAUAACUGGAAAUAUGGUAAAUCUAACAAGAAAAAGGUCAAUACGGGUGAAGGUAAAGACCUCCAUUUGGACUAGGAAAAAAAUUAACCAGACAGCUCAGGAUGAAUAGUGGAAGUAAGAACUGAUGCAACAGUGAUGCAUGUUGAAAUGACUGAGGGGGUUAGUUGAAAACAUGUCUGAUACAUCCAUGCUCAUGAACUCAGCAACUACUCUACGUGCUUACCACAUGCCAGGCUUUCUGCUAGGAGCUAUACAACCAUGCAUCAGAAUUUUUACUAUGGCCUUUCUAAUAUCUAAUAAACAUAGAAGGCCUCAUUUUCAACAAAGUGGCUAAGAGAAAAGAGGGGGUUAUAAAGAGUUCCAAACUCACCAGAUUCAGCCCUUGCCCCCUUUAAAUUUGUCCGAUCCAUGUCCCUUUCACAGUUAUAAUGAGCAUCAGCUCCUGCUUCUUCUGGGGCUUCCCUUUUAUCCUUUCAAUAGAUGUCUUAGUUUGGAUUCUCCUAAAAGCAGAUCCUCAGACAAAGAUUUGAGUGCAAGUAGCUGAUUUGGGAGGUAAUCCGGGAAACAGAGUGAGGGAGUGAGAUAGGGAAGGAAGGCAGCCAACAAUGUUACCAAACCAGUUACUGCUGGAAUAGGCGGAGCUCAGGCUUGGCGGGACCUCAGGAAGCCAGCAUAGGAUAUAACGCCAGAGUUAUUCUUACAAAGGAGUGGGAAUCUGGGGUGUUUAUACACCGACUCUUAUCAAGGAUUGGUUGAGGGCUGCUUCCAGGACGUGGGGUUUCUGGCUUGCCUUGCAUGUAGGCUGUGUGCUCCCAGGGCCGGAUAAAUAGCCCUCAGGCAGAGAUUCACAAACGUCACAGUAGCAGCCUUUGUCUUAGAGAGGCAAAUUCUGAGGGGAUGGGCUGGGACACUAAUAACUACAAAACUCAAGGGGCCAGCCCAGUGGCUCAGUGGUUAAGUGCUCAUGAUCCACUUUGGCGGCCUGGGGUCCGCCAGUUUGGAUCCUGGGUGCGCACCUACACACUGCUUGUCAAGCCAUGCUGUGGUAGGCAUCCCACAUAUAAAGUAGAGGAAGAUGGGCAUAAGUGUUAGCGCAGGGUCAGUCUUCCUCAGCAAAAAGAGGAGGGUUGGUGGGAGAUGUUAGCUCAGGGCUAAUCUUCCUCAAAAAAAAGAGGAUAACUACAAAACUCAAGUUUUCUUCAGGAUUCAUUAUCCUUCUCCACAGUUGUGUUCUUUGGCUUGGUAUAAGGAUGGAAAGAUGGGCUGAUUCUUUUACAGCAAGCAGAAGAUGGCAGAAUCAGGAGUCUGUGCGAAAGGAAGAGGACAGACAGUAUGUUGUACAAAGUUCUUGUCGCCGUGUUGCAGGAGAAACAUGUCUGGCUGAAUCCUAAGGUGCAUCUAUUGACUAGACGUGUACAAGUGUCCCAGGGUCUGAGCACCUAAAAACUCCCAUCACAGCAGCAAAUCCUAAGCAGACUGUUCACCUUCUAAUGUGGCCCAAUGAGUCAACAUGGCCCCAAGACACUGAAUAAAUUGGCUAAAAGUGGAUAUUCUUCCUUUCUUCGUAAAAUACUUGACUUUGUUCUCUUUUACACUUGAAAUUGAAAAUACACUUGGAUUUUUAAAAAACAGGUUGAUGAUUACCUGGGCUGGUGGAAAACAAUGUGAGACUAGCAGAAAACACAUGUAAAUAUUCCAUUAAAAUCUUCCUAGUAUGUAGAUUUUUAAAAAUCAUUUGGGGACAAUAAAGACAAAGUAGCAAUCUAUUUUUUGGAAUAAUUGUCUUCAUGCCAAAAGAAAUGCUCCAUCUAAAUUUUUUUAAUAUGGAAGGAAAAAUUCUUAGAAAAAGACUUUUCCCUGAAAAUAUUGCUUUUUCUCUUUCCCUUCGUUCCUAUCCCUGACCCCAGCCCAACUGGCAGCUUCCCUUCACUAUUAAUCAGCUCGUAAACAGAGGGCUCUUUCAUGACAGCUUUCCAGAGUGAUAAGCAAUGUGACAACCUUCAAUCUCAUCCUACCCAAAUUUGAAAUACCAAUCCUUGCAUUACAUACUCCUUUUUCUGUAGUCCAACACUCCAUAAACGUGACUAACGCAUUUCUUCAGUUGUCUAUAUCCUUUCCGAGUCUACAUUGCUGUCCUAGACUUAAUAGGCCCUAAGGAAAGACUGUCUUAACUAUUUUAUCCAUUUAGAAUGGUGGCACACACCACCAGCAUGGCUGCCAUGUUGCCUAACUCCAGAGGGCACCAUUCACAUACAACACUGUGAAAAUGGAACCCUGGAGUUGUACACUUAGCAGCGCUGAUCAGUAUCAACUCAAGAUUACUGCUCAUUGGUGACCUUGAUAAUGAAGUCACCUUUCAAUAGCAAUUAUGACAAACCCACUCACAAUAAGGAAAUAUGGUUUUUCAGGUGAAGCAAGGCCUAGAGAGAAACUUAGAACUAGAUGGAAAUUUAGAGACCAGUGAGUGUGGCCCCUUCAUUUGACCCCAAGCUAUCCAAGCUCAAAAUGGUUAAUACAGCUUGGGAUUGUUGAGUUUGUUCCAGAAUAUCCUAGAAUAUGUCUUCUGCCUCAACAUCCUUCAUCCCUACAUCACUCCCACCACGUACCACAUACCUUACCAUUACUCAUAGAGAAACCCGGAUCAAGGGUACCAAACUCAAAUGGCAAAGGGACCAGGCAGAGGAUACAAAUAAUGUGGGCCAAAUGGGACUGUGGUAACCUAGGGAGGGUUUCAUUACCUGAGAGAAUAGCCACCGCUGUGCCAAUUGUACCAUAUAAGUGUGCAGGUCCAAUGUGGCUAGAUGCUCUUCAAGAGAAGCCCAAAGCUUAGAUUUUUCUGUGAAAUUUUCUGGCUUUUAAAUGUAGUAAAUUAACUUGUUUUUAAAUACUGUAUGCCAAGGAAAGCCAGAUCUGGCCCAUAGUCUAUAGUAUCUGACUUGGAUGAUAAACCCCGAGAAGGAAUUAACAUCUCCUCGUCGCUCACAGCUGGGUGGUCUGUUAUGAGUCACCGUCUCUGAGUCUUGGUUUCUUCAUCUAUGAAAUGAGAAAAUGACCCCUUCUUUGAAGGAUUUUGUAAGAACUAAGCUUAUGUAGAUAAAGCACAUAGCACAGUGGCUGGCACAGUCCAUUCUUAAUAAGAGACGGCUGCUCACUUCCCUUUGUGGCUGAGACAUAUGCAUGUGGGUGUUGGUAGCAGAAUUCUCCACAGCCUUUCACCUAUUCCUUUUCUGUCUAUUAGGGAAAGAUGCCCACUGCUCAAAGGCAGUGGGGUGGGGCGGUUUUGAAUCCAUCAUCCUUACCUAAAUCAGGGGUUUACAAAUCAGAAAAUUUGGUUUUGCAUGCUUUCUGGUCUAAGGACGGUAAGAAUAAAUAAACAAGCAAACAAUAAAAAUAAAAAAGAAUAUAUCCUACAAGUAGCAUUUAAAUAUAAACCAUAAUAGCUAUGAACAUGAAGGCGGGGUGCUCACUUCAGGCCACGUUUGCAGAAGGUCACACCAUAACAUGUGUGCUCAGAUCCAAUUUACCGAGUCCCACUGGGUGGCCAAGCAUGAAGUCAGUUGGCAGCUGAGAACACGCUCAUGUCUUGUCUCAAAAGGUGAGUGGGUCUCUGCCUUCAAAAGGACUGAGUUGGGCUGCACUUAACUGUUGACAAUGUAAUAGCAGGGAGUGGGGCUAGGACUUCGGGUCAGGGCAGAGGCCACGGGCACUGGGGAAGCCCUUGGAGAGCCAGGCUCUCUCACUGACUCCUUUCCUGUCUCCCUCCUCCCUGUGAUGAUGUGGGAUGUCUGACAGCAGUAGAAUGUUUGAGCUCAGAUUCCUGCCUGUGUUAUUGGUUGGACUUCUUGUGUUUCAUUCUCAUUUCUAUUUGAUGACAAUUUUCAUAGCCGAAUCAUAACAGGCAGAAAAUGUUCAGAGCUGCAUUUUCUAAAGUCAAUAAGGAUUCUGAAGCAAAGUUGUUACAGAGUCAAACAACUUAUGACAUCUCAACCCCUGCCAGGCAAAAACGUUCUCUAAUUUAAAUUAAAUAAAUGACACAGAAUCAGUGACCCCUAUAUGCCCACCAGCUCUUAGCACUAGGCCUUCAAAGUAAGCUCUCAAUGCAUACUGGUUAUUGAAUAAAACCAACUCUUGGCGAGAAGAAAUAACGACCCAUGAAGUAAAGCCAACAAUAGAAUGAAAACUGAUACUCUCCAAAAGCACGAAUUUACUCCUGUAUUCUACUUCUUACUCACC
This 5754-nucleotide long non-coding RNA is filed under the name Equus caballus (horse). RNAcentral's name for it is "lncRNA (ENSECAG00000051885.1)". The record is from RNAcentral. Lineage: Eukaryota; Metazoa; Chordata; Mammalia; Perissodactyla; Equidae.